UCGAGCCGGAUGAUAAAAAAUUAUCAUGUCCGGUUCCCUCGGGGGAUGGAUCCAUAAGAAUUCACCUAUCCCAAU
This is a non-coding RNA of Arabidopsis thaliana (thale cress), 75 nucleotides long. The record is from Rfam. Lineage: Eukaryota; Viridiplantae; Streptophyta; Magnoliopsida; Brassicales; Brassicaceae.